Molecule: ribosomal RNA, 554 nt
Filed under: Poultonella alboimmaculata
Lineage: Eukaryota; Metazoa; Arthropoda; Arachnida; Araneae; Salticidae
Description: partial 16S ribosomal RNA
Rfam family: Bacterial large subunit ribosomal RNA (bases 170-462)
Source: RNAcentral
UUAAUAGUAAAGUCUGCUCAAUGAAAUUUUCAAUAGCCGCAAUUCGUGCUAAGGUAGCGUAAUCAUUUGUCUUUUAAAUGGAGACCUGUACAAAAGACUUAACAUCUUAAUUAAUUUUUUUAUUUAAAUAUUUUAACUUAUUUUAAAAGUUAUAAAACUUUUAUUAAUAAAAUAGACGACAAGACCCUAUUGAACUUAACUUUAGUUAAACUGGGGCAGUAAAUUAAUUAUUAUUUUAAUAUAAAUAUUUAUUUAAAAAGCCUAAUAAUUGAUAAAUCAGUUACCAUAGGGAUAACAGCAUAAUUUUAUUUUAAAGAUCUUAUUAAAAAUAAAGAUUAUGACCUCGAUGUUGAAUUAAUAACCUAAAUAAAGCAAAAUUUAUAAUAGGAAGUCUGUUCGACUUUUAAAUAAUUACAUGAUUUGAGUUCAGACCGGUACAAGCCAGGUCGGUUUCUAUCUUUUAAAAAUAUUUUUGUAGUACGAAAGGACCUAAAAAUUAAAUUUCAUUUAUAAAAUUGGCAGAAUAAUGCAUUAGAAUUAGAAUCUAAUUAACU